This 422-nucleotide ribosomal RNA is filed under the name uncultured bacterium. RNAcentral's name for it is "partial 16S ribosomal RNA". It matches the Rfam family "Bacterial small subunit ribosomal RNA", at positions 360 to 774 of the family's 1533-position model. The record is from RNAcentral.
AAUUGUGGACAAUGGGGGCAACACUGAUCCAGCCAUCCCGCGUGUGCGAUGAAGGCCUUCGGGUUGUAAAGCACUUUUGGCAGGGCAGAAAAGGUUCUGGCUAAUACCUGGAACUGCUGACGGUACCUGCAGAAUAAGCACCGGCUAGUCACGUGCCAGCAGCCGCGGUAAUACGUAGGGUGUAAGCGUUAAUCGGAAUUACUGGGCGUAAAGCGUGCGCAGGCGGUCCGGCAAGAAAGAUGGGGAAUCCCGGGGCUUAACCUCGGAACUGCAUUCUUAACUGCCGGGCUAGAGUAUGUCAGAGGGGGGUAGAAUGCCACGUGUAGCAGUGAAAUGCGUAGAGAUGUGGAGGAAUACCGAUGGCGAAGGCAGCCCCCUGGGAGGAUACUGACGCACAUGCACGAAAGCGUGGGGAGCAAACA